CUACGGGAUGCACCAGUGGGGAAUAUUGCACAAUGGGCGCAAGCCUGAUGCAGCCAUGCCGCGUGUAUGAAGAAGGCCUUCGGGUUGUAAAGUACUUUCAGUAAGGAGGAAGGCAGUUGCGUUAAUAGCGUAAUUGUUUGACGUUACUUACAGAAGAAGCACCGGCUAACUCCGUGCCAGCAGCCGCGGUAAUACGGAGGGUGCGAGCGUUAAUCGGAAUUACUGGGCGUAAAGCGCAGGCAGGUGGUUUGUUAAGUCAGAUGUGAAAGCCCUGGGCUCAACCCGGGAAUUGCAUUUGAAACUGGCAAGCUCGAGUACUGUAGAGGGGGGUAGAAUUUCAGGUGUAGCGGUGAAAUGCGUAGAGAUCUGAAGGAAUACCGGUGGCGAAGGCGGCCCCCUGGACAGAUACUGACACUCAGAUGCGAAAGCGUGGGGAGCAAACAGGAUUAGAUACCCCAGUAGUC
RNAcentral lists this ribosomal RNA (464 nucleotides) under uncultured bacterium. RNAcentral's name for it is "partial 16S ribosomal RNA". It matches the Rfam family "Bacterial small subunit ribosomal RNA", at positions 339 to 795 of the family's 1533-position model. The record is from RNAcentral.